UGACUACAUCACCCACCAAACUGAAGCAAGCAGCUAUCAUUCAGAAGAUUUGUAUGUCUAAAAUAUCCCUUCCUCCUUCUGGCCCAAUGUCUGUAUCGACAAAAGCUCAUCCACAGAUUUCUGAAGUUCAUACACGAAAACCUCUGAUGCCCGUCAAUUGUAAUUCUCUAAAUAAACCAGAACACUCAGUAAACUGGAAACAAAUCUCUACCAUCCAGCAAAUCUGGGAUGCUUCCUUCCUUCCAGUCUGCAAAUUAGAUCUCUUCCUUUCAAUCAGUAAUACGAUAAAUCUCUAUUUUUGUAAUUAAUAAGUAGUUGAUGUGAUCAUUAAUUGUUACCUGGAAGUCAUUAUUAAUUUUUAUCAUUUAAUUGUUAGCAUUAUUGUUUCCUAAUUGCAAAUAAUCAUUUGUCGAGUCUUAUGUCAUCAGGUACCAAAUUUUAAGACUGAAAGCAAUACAUAAUACAAUUAAGAUUACCAUGGUUGCUGUAAGAAUAUAUUUUCAAAAUAAAAUUAUUAAGAAAUGUAAAAAAUGACUGGGAUGCUUCCUGCUUUCCUGUCUGCAAAUUAGAUCUCCUCCUUUCAAUCAGAAAUACGAUACAUUUCUAUUUUUGUAAAUAAUAAGUAGUUGAUGUGAUCAUUAAUUGUUACCUGGAAGUCAUUAUUAUUUUUAUCAUUUAAUUGUUAGCAUUAUUGUUUCCUAAUUGCAAAUAAUCAUUUGUAGAGUCUUAUGUCAUCAGGUACCAAAUUUUAAGACUGAAAGCAAUACAUAAUACAAUUAAGAUUACCAUGGUUGCUGUAAGAAUAUAUUUUCAUAAUAAAAAUAAAAUGGUUAAAGAAACUCUCCACUAUUUCUCAUUUCUUUGCCUUUAUUCUUUUGAUGAGUUUUCUUCUUCGGUGGGAAAAAAAAUUUAAUUUCUCUUUUUCAGGAUUAUAGAUUUUUCCUUUUCAUUUCCUUUCAAAGAAUUAUACCACCUCAUAACUAGGUACUCACAAAGGUUUCCUUUUAUUAAUUUGCAUACAAUCCUCUAAAGAAACCAUAUUAUGCUGCACAAUCAGAUUUGGAUGUAUUUAUGUUAAAAGGAACUAUGUGCACAGGGUUUGCGUGUAACAUAGUUCCUUUUAGCUUAAAUACGUCCAUUUGUAUCUUGAAGGCCAGGUUUUAAGAGCUUUGAUGCGCUGCAACAGACUACAAAGCGAAAUUGGUCAAAGAGUGCUAGUAGCUGGAAACGUCUUCUCACCUUGAAAAUCCUAUUAUUAAUAUUAUUAUCAUUUUUUUUUAAAUGUCCAUGUAAUCAGGAUUAUACUUUCCUCUUUCUUUCAAAAUUGAAUGUUUAUUUCAUAAUGCUGCUCCUAAGUGUAAAUACCUGAUCAUUCUUUCACGCAUGACUUCUUAUGGACAGCGAGCAACAUUAUUUUUAAUACUAACAGGAACAUCCCAAUCUCAGGGAAAAGUUGAAAAAUCUUCCAUUUACAGAGAGCACAAGUUCAUGUGAAAAGUAGUCUCACUUUCCUCUCUUGUUCUUUUUUAAAAUUAAAAACAGCUUUUCUCAUUAGGUACUGGUAGAAUCAAUUUAAUAAUGUGAACUUAAAUUACACAUUGUGUCACCCCAAAUGUUUCAUUUUUCACAUUUUCCGAUGAAAUAGUUCUUUCCUUCUUCAUCAAAUGGUCAAUCAAGAUCACAGUUAAAAUAUUUGCUAAAAUUAAUUUACUUCUUCCUGACAUAAUAAUCUUUCACUUCUUAAGAAUAGCAAAUUCGAAGCAAUGAAACCCUCAUUACUACGAGAGAACAACUGCGACACUAAAUUGACAGUGACACACGAGUACGAGGCUUAUUCAUACGUGAUUAUUGUUAUCACGGUCUCGGUACACUUAGCUCGUAUAUCCGGCGGUAUCAACUGGGCUGAAGGCGCGUCUUUACCCCCCUAGCUGUCUUACCUUCCCCGCCUAAAGUCGGGCCCAAUGCGCGGUCUAGAUUGUAUUAUACGUCAAUGGGUUCGCCUCGCCGCUCGGGCCGCAGCAAGCGAGCCUCUAGGAUUGGAAUCGGCCAAUACCAUCUAACCAUACCUGGUCAUGGGUUUGAGGUUAAAUGUUCGUAACUGCGGAGAACACACGGGAUCGUAUAGGGAGGACUUGAAAAUAGUUGAUUUUUUUACUUGAGAAAGUGAUUUAUUCCGGGCGUGGAAUUUUCAGUUGAAUAUUUAUGGCAAGUUUUAUCGAAAGAAACAAAUUUUUCCGGCAGAACCACAUUUUAAAUGAAGGAAAAAAUUAUUAAACGUAUAUCACUGUGGAAUAAGGGCAGGCAAGGGGUGAAAAAGAUGCAACCCGCCAAACGUAGCCCGGCGGCUUCCCUUUGUUCUCCGCAGAUAUUACUCACACACUCUCACACGUAUUCUCCAAUGGCCAGGAAUGCUAAGUAGGAAUUGAAUCGGCCCGUCUCUGGGCCGUGCAGCGCGCUUCGUCAACUCCAUCCGAUCGGUUACCCUACCUCUCCUGUAAUCCCACGAGUAUUCCCGUUUCUUCGCUACUGUUUCUACCUCGAUUUACUUACAUUAUACAUUUUGCU
RNAcentral lists this long non-coding RNA (2565 nucleotides) under Bemisia tabaci. Its description in RNAcentral is "lncRNA ENSSSA3NGG004738". Lineage: Eukaryota; Metazoa; Arthropoda; Insecta; Hemiptera; Aleyrodidae. The record is from RNAcentral.